ACAGCAGCCGCCGCGGUAAUACAGAGGGUGCGAGCGUUAAUCGGAUUUACUGGGCGUAAAGCGUGCGUAGGCGGCUUUUUAAGUCGGAUGUGAAAUCCCUGAGCUUAACUUAGGAAUUGCAUUCGAUACUGGGAAGCUAGAGUAUGGGAGAGGAUGGUAGAAUUCCAGGUGUAGCGGUGAAAUGCGUAGAGAUCUUGAGGAAUACCGAUGGCGAAGGCAGCCAUCUGGCCUAAUACUGACGCUGAGGUACGAAAGCAUGGGGAGCAAACAGGAUUAGAUACCCGAGUAGUCCCUGUCUCUUAUAC
This 305-nucleotide ribosomal RNA is filed under the name uncultured bacterium. RNAcentral's name for it is "partial 16S ribosomal RNA". It matches the Rfam family "Bacterial small subunit ribosomal RNA", at positions 508 to 807 of the family's 1533-position model. The record is from RNAcentral.